ACGCGGCGAGGGAGGGCAAAGGGGGAAAGCACAAUGCCCUGCUUGUGAGUAACUUUCACAAGCAGGACAUUGUGCUUCCCUUCAGCUGGGUCGCUUUCCACAGAACCCAAGCUGCACCUGUAAUGCUUCUGUUGGUGCCGGUGUCACACAAGCAAAGGUCCUUCCAGGGCCCAAUAUCCCAGAAUAUCCCAGAAUAUCUGCUUUGAACUGGGUUAUCUGAGUCCACAGUGCCAUAUAUCCCAGUUCAGAGCAGAGCAUGUGGGAUUUUAUUCAGCUGUGUGAAAGGGGCCCCGAACAAGCCCUAUAUCCCAGGAUCUGACCCCAGGGUUUCUGUUUAUCCCAGAUUAUCUGUCUGUGGACUCAUAUAAUCCAGUAUAUAGCAGAAAACCUGGUACCGUGUUUCCCUGAAAAUAAGACAGUGUCUUAUAUUAAUUUUUGCUCCCAAAGAUGCGCUAGGCCUUAUUUUCAGGGGAUGUCUUAUUUUUCCAUGAAGAAGAAUUCACAUUUAUUGUUGAACAAAAAAAUGAACAUUUAUUAUAUACUGUACAGUAGUUGUCAUCACAAACCAGCACAACCAGACAAACUGUGAAUCCUAUCAAGAAUUUCUUGUUACUACCAAUAUUUCCAUGUACAACACUCUAUGGUAUGUACAUUUACUGAUCCUGCAUGCUCUGAUUUUCUGUUUGGUGGGCAUGCUUCCAAACAAAAACUCUGUUAGGUCUUACUUUCAGGGGAGGCCUUAUAUUUAGCAAUUCAGCAAAACCUCUACUAGGUCUUAUUUUCUGGGGAUGUCUUAUUUUAGGGGAAACAGGGUAUCAGAUCUGUUAAUGUGGGAUUUGUGUAUUGAUAGUACAGUAGAGUCUCGCUUAUCCAACAUAAACGGGCCGGCAGAAUGUUGGAUAAGCGAAUAUGUUGGAUAAUAAGGAGAGAUUAAGGAAAAGCCUAUUAAACAUCAAAUUAAGUUAUGAUUUUACAAAUUAAGCACGAAAACAUCAUGUUAUACAACAAAUUUGACAGAAAAAGUAGUUCAAUACAUAGUAAUGCUAUGUAGUAAUUACUGUAUUUACGAAUUUAGCACCAAAAUAUCAUGAUGUAUUGAAAACAUUGACUACAAAAAUGCGUUGGAUAAUCCAGAACGUUGGAUAAGCGAGUGUUGGAUAAGUGAGACUCUACUGUAUUUAAAUGCAAUUUGUGUCUUGGUUUGUAUUGCAUACUGAUUGCAUCAUCCAGAGUGUACUAUAGUCUGUAAAGAGUUAAUUACUGAGAAGCUGUGAUGACCUUGAUGUGUGGCUGGAACUGGGGAGUGUCCAGACACAAGUGUGUAUGCAUUACUGAUUGCAUCAGUUGAGUUCUGUUCUGUUCUGAGUUGAGCCAAGUCCUGUGUUCGUCUGCAAGUCUGCUUGUCUUGAUUAUUACUGCUUUCAGUAAAACUUGCAUAUAGUUUUACCAUCGUCUCUGAUGUUUCUUCGUGCUACGUUCCUCUGAUUCCAUCCAACUGCUGCUGCGCUGCGUAAAUUACGCUGACAAGAUCCUGGGAUAUAUGGCAGUGCCCUUUCGACACUCCCAUAUAAUCCAUAUUAAUCUGUUUUGAACUGGAUUGUAUGGCAGUGUGGCUUUAUCCAGUUCAAAUCAGAUAAUCUGGAUUAUUGGCUUUGACCAUCUGAAUUAUAUGGCAGUGUAGAAGGGGUCUUAGUAGACCUCAAGUUGAACAUGAAAUAACAAUAUGAUAAAGCAGUUUUUAAAAACCAAUGGGAUUUGAGGCGGCAUCAAAAGGAAUAUAGGGUUCUUCCAGACAGGCUCUAUAUCCCAGAAUCUGAUCCCAAGUUUUCUGUUUAUCCCAGAUUAUCUGGGUUUCUCCUACGAACCAACGCGAACCCUAAGAUCAUCCGGGGAGGCGCUCCUCUUGCUCCCGCCUUUGUCUCAAAUGCGGCUGGUGGGGACGAGGGAGAGGGCCUUCUCGGCAGUGCCCCCCCUCCCCCCCGGCUCUGGAACUCUCUCCCUAAGGAGAUCAGGUUAGCUCCUUCCCUGCCCAUUUCCCGCCGGGAAUUGAAAACAUGGUUGUUCCAGAGUGUGUUUGAAUGAACAGGCCCAAUAGAGCUGUCAUCAGAAUACUUCUUUAUGUUUUAAAAGCGUAUGGCACUUUAUCACUGUUACUCAUUUCCAUGAUACAGCACUUAACGAAACCUGUCCCCGCUGGGUUGCUUUUAAUUACUCUGAUUUUAUCUGCUUGGAUUUUAAUGUAUUGUCCAUUACUUUAUUUUGUGUAUCGUUGAAAUGUUUUAAGUUUUGUCAAAUGCUGUGUCGUUGUUUCGGGCUUGUCCCUGUUGUGAGCCGCCCCGAGUCCCUUCGAGGAGAUGGGGCAGGAUAUAAAAAUAAAGUUUAUUUAUUAUUAUUAUUAUUAUUAUUAUUAUUAUUAUUAUUAUUUAUGUAAUCCGGUUUAAAGCAGAAAACCUGGGGCUCUUCCACACAGCCAUAUAACCCAGAAUAUCAAGGCAGGUAAUCUACAAUAUCUGCUUUGGAUUAUCUUGAGUCCACACUGCCAUAUAAUCCAGUUCAAUGUGGAUUUUAUACAGCUGUGUGGAAGGGCCCUAGGAUCAGAACCUGGGGUAAAGGGCCUGUCUGGGGGGGGGCAUUGUGUCUAGAUUGUGGGAAGUCGUGGUGCUUUGGUCAGACCUCACCUGGAAUAAUGUGUCCAAUUCUGGGCACCACAGUUCAAAAGAGAUAUUGACAAGUUGGAAGGUGUCCAGAUGGGGGCGAGUAAAAGGAUCAAAGGUUUGGAAACCAGGCAGACCCUAUGAGGAGCAUCUUAAAAAUCUGGGAAUGUUUAGCCUGCAAAAGAAAAGGUUGAGAAGAGACAUAGACAUGGGAAUGAGUCUCAUAAGGAAGGGGGAGCAGGCAUGUUUUGGCUGCCCUAGAAACUAACUAGGAUUGGGUUAGCAAUGGGUCCAAAUUACAGGAAAGGACAUUCCUUCUGAACAUUAGAAAUAACUUCCUGACCGUACUAGCUGUUCAACAGUGGAACUCUUUGCCUCGCAGUGUGACGGAAGCUCCUUCCUUGGAAACUUUUAAACAGAGGCUGAAUGGCCAUCGGUUUUGUUUCAGUAGACUAAGAAAAUACCUCAGCAUAAACAAGUGAAUUGGGAUGACAAUUCAUGUGAGGGCUGGAAUGAAAUAUUGAAGAGAGAAAUCCUCAUGGAGCAAGAUGAAGUGAACAAUCCUCUUGUUCAGAAUAUCUACAAAACAAAAGCCCACAUGUUGAAGGAUGGUACAUGCCCUAAAUGUCACAUUAAAUAGUCACAGUUGAUUCUA
Molecule: long non-coding RNA, 3309 nt
Organism: Anolis carolinensis (green anole)
Lineage: Eukaryota; Metazoa; Chordata; Lepidosauria; Squamata; Anolidae
Exons: 2
Source: RefSeq, a predicted model, not a curated record